This 521-nucleotide ribosomal RNA is filed under the name uncultured bacterium. RNAcentral describes it as "bacterial SSU rRNA". It matches the Rfam family "Bacterial small subunit ribosomal RNA", at positions 8 to 518 of the family's 1533-position model. The record is from RNAcentral.
AGAGUUUGAUUCUGGCUCAGGAUGAACGCUAGCUACAGGCUUAACACAUGCAAGUCGAGGGGCAGCAUAGUCAAAGCUUGCUUGAUUGAUGGCGACCGGCGCACGGGUGAGUAACGCGUAUCCAACCUUCCCCUUAGUAGGGCAUAGCCCGGCGAAAGUCGGAUUAAUACCCUAUGUUGUGUCAUGAGGACAUCUGAAUAACACUAAAGAUUUAUCGCUAAGGGAUGGGGAUGCGUCCGAUUAGCUUGCCGGCGGGGUAACGGCCCACCGGGGCGACGAUCGGUAGGGGUUCUGAGAGGAAGGUCCCCCACACUGGUACUGAGACACGGACCAGACUCCUACGGGAGGCAGCAGUGAGGAAUAUUGGUCAAUGGGCGAGAGCCUGAACCAGCCAAGUAGCCGUGCAGGAUGACGGCCCUAUGGGUUGUAAACUGCUUUUAUGCGGGGAUAAAGUGACGUACGUGUACGUUUUUGUAGGUACCGCAUGAAUAAGGACCGGCUAAUUCCGUGCCAGCAGCCGC